RNAcentral lists this transfer RNA (88 nucleotides) under Xanthomonas phage XbC2. RNAcentral's name for it is "tRNA-Leu". It matches the Rfam family "tRNA". Rfam says of the family: Transfer RNA (tRNA) molecules are approximately 80 nucleotides in length. Their secondary structure includes four short double-helical elements and three loops (D, anti-codon, and T loops). The record is from RNAcentral. Lineage: Duplodnaviria; Heunggongvirae; Uroviricota; Caudoviricetes.
GCGUUUGUGGUGAAAUUGGUAUAUACAGGAGACUUAAAAUCUCCCGCCUGUAACGGGCAUGUCGGUUCGACUCCGACCAGACGCACCA